GAACACAAAAUGGCGACACGUGGUUAGCAUUCGUCGCCAACGAGAAAUUGGGGUCGGCCCGAAAGCUCUAGAAUGCACCCCUCUUCCUCCCCGGGGCCUUCCACCUCCGCGAGUUUUAUGACUUAAAAAAGCCCACAGGCUGGUCUGAAGAGGAAGACAAACAUAAAGAUGAAGUGCUUAAUUCAAGGUCACACAAUGUCGGGGAUGGACCUCCAGAUUUCCUUACUGACCUGCAUUAUCUUGUGGAUACCUGAGUGAAUUCCACACCACCCAUUUUAUAGAUGAAACCACUGAGACAUGGAGCAAUUGACUGAGUAGUCACUGCCCCACCCCUGCCUGGAGCCUCACACAUGACUCGCCUCCUCUCAGUGACCACAGGUGAGACGUGGUCUUGUAACACAGUGGUUAAGAAUGUGACUUUGGAGCCAGCCUGCUAGGGGCUGAAUUCUGACUCAGCCAUUUACUAACUGUGUGACCUUAGGGAGGAGGACCUGGUUGAUAGAAGAAUUUAUCUCGUAGUCUUAACAUCCACUGUAAUUCCAAACUUUGAGGACGAUAGAGAUCAGUGGGCUUUGACUGCCCAGCAUGCAGUCUCCAUUCUUAGGUGGGUUCCCAAGCCUGUAAAAUGUAAGCCUUAUGCUGCUGAGGGCCAUCUUGCCACCCUGAGGGAAACGCUGCCUGAGAAUGAAACAAGCAUAAGUAAAAGCUGAGCUGUGAGAUGGAGCAAGAUGAAGGCCACAUGACAUCUUUGGAGCACCUGGAUCUAACUGUGCCUUAAGCUAGUCUAACCCUGAACAUUUCAUCAUUUCAUUGACAUGAGCCCAGGUUUUCUUUUUUUUUGGAUGGAGUCUUGCUCUGUCGCCCAGGCUGGAGUGCAGUAGCUCAAUCUCGGCUCACUGCAAGCUCCACCUCCCGGGUUCACGCCAUUCUCCUGCCUUAGCCUCCCAAGUAGCUGGGACAACAGGCGCCCACCACCACUCCCAGCUAAUUUUUUGUAUUUUUAGUAGAGACGGGGUUUUACCAUGUUAGCCGGGAUGGUCUUGAUCUCCUGACCUCAUGAUCCGCCCGCCUCGGCCUCCCAAAGUGCUGGGAUUACAGGUGUGAGCCACUGCACCCAGCCCUCAGGUUUUCCCUUUUUUUACCCCUCCUUUUGAAAAUUUGAUGUGGAAUUUUGCCACCUGCAGCCAGAAGAGUUUUAACUAAUCAGUGCCAUAAAUUUUAUAUAGUUCUCCUUGCAAAAUGUGGAUCAGCCUUUCUCAGCAAAUCCUUUGUCAUAAAGUGCUGAAUUGUAAGUUUGUCAUGAGAAUCACAUGAGAUCAUGCAUGUGAAGAACCUGGCAUUAUCCUCCUCAUAGAAAAAAACCAGUAAAUAUUAACUACAGGAAGCAAGGAAGGAGUGGGGUGAGGGGAAGAAGAAGGGGUACUGAUUUAAAAGAACCCUGGAGUCCUAAGGAUAAUCUAGGAACCCUCAGACCCAAUCCGAUACCCCUAUUCUAAAUGCUCCUAGUGCCCUGUACCUUCCCCUCAUAAGCCUUCAUUAUCAUUGUAAUGAUAUGUUUAUGUAAUAUUUUGAUUAAUGUCUCUCCUUCACUGACCUAGCAGUUCUAGCAGGGCAGUGAUUUUGCUGUGUUGCAUCCCCAGCACCUAGUCUGGUAUGUGGCAUUCAGCAUAUGUUUAUUGAAUGAAUGGCCAUGUGGUUAUUCAGAUCCUCCUUGAUUAUUGGGGUUAGGAUUGUGGCAGAAGUGGCAAAAUCAGGGAGAGUAGUCCCUGUCCCCUCUGUAUCUUAUACACUGCCCACACUCCCAACACACAUACACAUACAGAGAAUUUUGUCUCAAUUAGAUAAUUAACUUCUGCUUGGUUGUAAACCAAACCACUGGUUCUUAAACUUUCAUUGGAUCAUUUUAUUGAAGAAUUAAAUAGUGUGGUUCUGGCCUAAUGUCUGGAAAGCCUUGCAGAGGAGUGGAUUAGGUCUUUGUGAUAAACAGGCAGCCUUCCCUGCUCCUGUGUCUUUAUAAAAUCUAUUUAACUGGAGUAGUCCACCCUCCCUCAGGCUCUUACAGGAAUAUGUUGGAGGCUGUAGGAAGGUGGGAAACCGAGAGGGAAAGGACUGGGCCGCUGGAGACUUCACUCAUUCCCUAGCAAGAAACAAAAGCAGUAAAAGGUGGCCCGAGGACAACCUGAAGCUCACUCCUUCAGCACUUUUGGCUGGAGGUCACUUGUUGGAGCCCCACUCAGAGCUCAGCACACCACCCCACCAGCAGCCUCCUCCUCCCAGCUGAGGCUGCAUUUCAUCCCUUCCCCCAGCCUGCUUUCCCUGAGAUAGGGGAGUGUUUCCCAGGGCCCAUGUGACUUCCACUGGCAAGUGACGAUUACCAAUGGUUUACUAGUCAGUGAAACUACCAAAGGCUUUUGUGCUGUAGUAAUCCUUUUCCUGUUUAAAACUCUGGGGAUUUUCUAAUGUUGCCAAUAGUUUUUCAAGUCAGCAAUUACUGUGUGGAUUAUGUAAUGGCUCGGUAUUAAAAAUAGAAAAGAC
RNAcentral lists this long non-coding RNA (2535 nucleotides) under Homo sapiens (human). Its description in RNAcentral is "PCBP1 antisense RNA 1". Lineage: Eukaryota; Metazoa; Chordata; Mammalia; Primates; Hominidae. The record is from RNAcentral.